RNAcentral lists this unclassified non-coding RNA (446 nucleotides) under Cossinia australiana. Its description in RNAcentral is "partial external transcribed spacer". Lineage: Eukaryota; Viridiplantae; Streptophyta; Magnoliopsida; Sapindales; Sapindaceae. The record is from RNAcentral.
GCGUGUGAGUGGUGAUCGGAUGGAAUGGGCUUGCAUGCUCCUUGCUUGCGCGACGAAUUGUUAGCCCGUCGUCCUCUUCAUAUUCGGCCCCGGGCAUGUAGCACGCUCUGUGGGUGCGUUUGAUAUCCUGUAUUCAUUUCCAAUACGACGGCAUUCGGUGCUUUCGAUGCAUACAUCCGUCCGGCGCCUAUCCAGGUGUCGGGCGAACAAUAGGUUGGCCCCGUGCUCCUAGCAUGCCUUGCAACAUUGUUCGGCUGCCGCGGCGCACGGGGUUGUGCCCGUUCUCUCGGACGCAGAUCGUUGUGUGCGUGGACGAGGGGUUUAGCCCCGUAGUCGUCUGUGUCACGCACUUGUCCCGUAUACCCGAACGACCGUCGCACCUGUUUUGGCUCGGGAGCCACGGCUCUUCGAGGAUCCAUGCGGGUGUCGGCGUCGUUGAGGAAUGC